AUCCCUACCACUCUACUGUUGGCCACCACCAUGCUCAGAAAAUCUAAACUUUUUUUUCUACCUCGCUUUCAACUCAACCUCUUUUUUUUUCCUCUUUCUCUACCUUCUGUAUGUAUACCACCAGCCUAAAGAUAUUUAUGUCCUUGAUUAACAAGGCAUUCUUGCUCUCAAGGAUCAACUCACGAGAUAAUCCCGAAGUGAACUUUCUCAUUCAGGCCCUCAUACUAAAACCAACUCUGGAGUACACCGC
Molecule: long non-coding RNA, 250 nt
Filed under: Capsicum annuum
Lineage: Eukaryota; Viridiplantae; Streptophyta; Magnoliopsida; Solanales; Solanaceae
Description: long non-coding RNA (CANN_LNC000602)
Source: RNAcentral